Molecule: ribosomal RNA, 253 nt
Filed under: uncultured bacterium
Lineage: Bacteria
Description: partial 16S ribosomal RNA
Rfam family: Bacterial small subunit ribosomal RNA
Source: RNAcentral
GACAGAGGGUGCGAACGUUGUUCGGAAUUACUGGGCGUAAAGCGCGUGUAGGCGGCAGCGUAAGUCGGGCGUGAAAUCCCACGGCUCAACCGUGGAAGUGCACUCGAAACUGCGCAGCUAGAGUCCUGGAGAGGAAGGUGGAAUGCUUGGUGUAGAGGUGAAAUUCGUAGAUAUCAAGCGGAACACCGGUGGCGAAGGCGGCCUUCUGGACAGUGACCGACGCUGAGACGCGAAAGCGUGGGGAGCAAACAGG